GCCGUCGUAGCACAAUGGUAGUGCGUUGCCUUCCUAAGGUCUUGUACCAGGCAAAGGUUGCGGGUUCGAUCCCCGUCGUCGGUA
Non-coding RNA from Rhizopogon salebrosus TDB-379, 84 nucleotides. The record is from the annotation of a GenBank genome assembly. Lineage: Eukaryota; Fungi; Basidiomycota; Agaricomycetes; Boletales; Rhizopogonaceae.